Molecule: long non-coding RNA, 771 nt
Organism: Ctenocephalides felis (cat flea)
Lineage: Eukaryota; Metazoa; Arthropoda; Insecta; Siphonaptera; Pulicidae
Exons: 7
Source: RefSeq, a predicted model, not a curated record
AUAGGAGUUGGGAGAGGGAGUUGUCUUGUCAUUGCAAGAGUUCAUUUUCAUCGUGGCGAUUGCUGGAAGAACACAACGAGACGUCGUCGAACACGGACGAGCGGGCCUGACCCUUCGCUGCCUGUGGAGAACAUGCGACCUGCGAGCGUCAUAUGGUGCGGAUGAAAUCACAUGGAGGCCACAAGAUAUAUCGAGCAAGUUGUUGAGUAUCGAAUGGCCAAGUAUCGAGUGAAAAUUGAACACUGACUCACUUCACCGGGAAUCGCUCUGAAAAUAAUUUAAAAAAUCCUUUAAACCACUGCUACUCUGCACACUGUCCCCUACACCAGGAAUCGCUCUGAAAAUAAUUUAAAAAGUCCUUGGAUCUAAUGCUGCUCUGCACUCACCCUACUUCACCAGGAAUCUUUCCAGAAACAUUUUACCAGGUCUUCUCGAUCCAACUAUUACUGCCCUGAAGCUCUAACAUGUGAAUGACUCGCAAGUGUUUUUUUUUAAUAACUGCCUGUAAUUAUGCAUGAUUAACUUAACUCUUAUUAACUCAAUAACAUGACUAACCUCACUAACUUAAGCAGUUAUUAUAAAUACCACUUGUUGAGUUUUACUAUGAAGAUUUUACUGAGGUUGCUUGGAAGACGGGGGUGAAUGAUUAAUCAGGGUAAACGACAACUUCAACCCAAGUGGUAAACUCUCAAGUUGCUCACGAGUGAGAACAAUCAUUUCAUCUACUAAUUAUGCUGUCCGUCCGUCCGUCUUGUCACCAAAGAAGAUGCC